CAGCGUUAACACCAUUAAGGCCCCUAAAUAUUAAAGAAACAACUUGAAUGAUGCAAUAGAGAAUGGUUUUCACAAAUUAUAGAGAUUCCUACUGUAAUCAUUCUAUUCUAAUAGUGUUAUCACUCUUUCAACUUGUUAGGAGGAACACAGGGAAAUUACAAAGGCUAUAAAUUGUGCUUACCAGUGGCAUCAAUUCCACCUUCCUUCCACGCAUCUCCACUCAUGUAAUAAACAUGGCUACAAUCACAUUUCAAGAAUAAUGAUUUAUUUUGUUAUAUUUAAUUAACAUGUCCAAAUAGUGUUUAGAAUAUAAUUAGCAAGAUCAGUAAAAAAAUAAAUAAAAUUGAAAAUUAUAAUCCAUAGUCGAACUAACAAUUUAUCCUCCCCAAGGAUAUGAACUCAAAAAUCCUAAUCAACAGGAAACUUAAAUUUCAGUUUUUCUUUUUCUUUGAUUUUCGAUUCUACUUGCAUUUACCCCCCAGAAACCUUAAAAUAAAACUUUUGCCAAAAAAAAAAAAAUCUAAUAAAACAAUUAAAAUAAA
This 542-nucleotide unclassified non-coding RNA is filed under the name Hevea brasiliensis (rubber tree). The record is from RNAcentral. Lineage: Eukaryota; Viridiplantae; Streptophyta; Magnoliopsida; Malpighiales; Euphorbiaceae.